UUAAGUGAUGUGUGGUUUCAAGAACAGAAAAUGUGGCAGCCCAAUGUUGAUACUGAGAUGGGAGAUCCUAGGUCUUGAUCAGUACUCAGGAGCCAUGGUGUUCUGAUGCAUUUAUGAUCCUCUGGGAGAAAAAAAAACCAACAGCUUCAGUAAGAGAUGGGCUUGCCUCUGCCACUUGGAUUUACUUUCAUGUCUCCUGGCUCCAGGAAGCUAGUUCUAAUCAAGGAUGCACACCACUCAUCAGAAUGUUACAAUUUCUAUGUGAUCUGCUGCUUCAUUUUGUUCCAUUUAAGGUUUGGGGGAAUCAGAUGGAUAGGGCAUGCACAUUUUGAAAUCUGCAGCUCUGUGGACAAUGGGUUGUACGGGAUGGAGACCACAUACAUCGCAGACAAUGCAGUGCACACAUCUUACCAUACUUUCAGCUGCUGCAGGAAUCACCCAACUGUCCGGCCCUAUGAAGAGAUAUUUCCAUCACUGCAGACCUUUCUGCACAUUCCAUCACACACAGUCUGA
This 513-nucleotide long non-coding RNA is filed under the name Mus spicilegus (steppe mouse). Its description in RNAcentral is "lncRNA (ENSMSIG00000006469.1)". The record is from RNAcentral. Lineage: Eukaryota; Metazoa; Chordata; Mammalia; Rodentia; Muridae.